This 492-nucleotide ribosomal RNA is filed under the name uncultured bacterium. Its description in RNAcentral is "partial 16S ribosomal RNA". It matches the Rfam family "Bacterial small subunit ribosomal RNA", at positions 29 to 507 of the family's 1533-position model. The record is from RNAcentral.
AGUGAACGCUGGCGGUAGGCCUAACACAUGCAAGUCGAACGGCAGCACAGUAAGAGCUUGCUCUUACGGGUGGCGAGUGGCGGACGGGUGAGGAAUACAUCGGAAUCUACUUUUUCGUGGGGGAUAACGUAGGGAAACUUACGCUAAUACCGCAUACGACCUACGGGUGAAAGCAGGGGAUCUUCGGACCUUGCGCGUUUGAAUGAGCCGAUGUCGGAUUAGCUAGUUGGCGGGGUAAAGGCCCACCAAGGCGACGAUCCGUAGCUGGUCUGAGAGGAUGAUCAGCCACACUGGAACUGAGACACGGUCCAGACUCCUACGGGAGGCAGCAGUGGGGAAUAUUGGACAAUGGGCGCAAGCCUGAUCCAGCCAUACCGCGUGAGUGAAGAAGGCCUUCGGGUUGUAAAGCCCUUUUGUUGGGAAAGAAAAGCAGCAGGUUAAUACCCCGCUGUUCUGACGGUACCCAAAGAAUAAGCACCGGCUAACUUCGUG